This 461-nucleotide ribosomal RNA is filed under the name uncultured bacterium. RNAcentral describes it as "bacterial SSU rRNA". It matches the Rfam family "Bacterial small subunit ribosomal RNA", at positions 28 to 507 of the family's 1533-position model. The record is from RNAcentral.
GAUGAACGCUAGCGGCGUGCCUAACACAUGCAAGUCGAACGUGAGAGGGUACUUGUAUCCUUGAAAGUGGCGGACGGGUGAGUAAGACGUAGGUGACCUGCCUUGAAGUGGGGGAUAACCACUGGAAACGAUGGCUAAUACCGCAUAAGCUGGUGAUGAUGGGAAUCGUUAUCAGGAAAGCUUUAGUGCUUUGAGAGGGGCCUACGGCCGAUUAGCUAGUUGGUGAGGUAAAGGCUCACCAAGGCGAUGAUCGGUAGCUGGUCUGAGAGGACGAUCAGCCACACGGGAACUGAGACACGGUCCCGACUCCUACGGGGGGCAGCAGUGAGGAAUAUUCGGCAAUGGGGGCAACCCUGACCGAGCAACGCCGCGUGGAGGAUGACGGUUUUCGGAUUGUAAACUCCUUUUCUCAGGGAAGAGCGAGGACGGUGCCUGGGGAAUAAGUCACGGCUAACUACGUG